ACAAAUAACGCGAAUUCCGCUCGCUCUGGCGAAGGGUCAACUUCCUCCGCUUGAGCGCGCAGAAAAAGCUGUGUCUCUUAAGAUUCAUUUCUUUCGAGAUGCGUAACAAACAAGUAACCUGGGGUACUUUAAGGUGGAGUGCUUUACUGUGCUUUACCUUGAAGCCCCUCUAAUAAUCCCAUUUUUUUACCAUUUUACCCUUGAUAAACUAUAAGACUGAUAUGACAUGAUAAAUGUCAAAUACUAAAAUUAUAAAA
RNAcentral lists this unclassified non-coding RNA (257 nucleotides) under soil metagenome. RNAcentral's name for it is "partial internal transcribed spacer 1". The record is from RNAcentral.